GAUGAACGCUGGCGGCGUGCCUAAUACAUGCAAGUCGAGCGAACGGACGAGAAGCUUGCUUCUCUGAUGUUAGCGGCGGACGGGUGAGUAACACGUGGAUAACCUACCUAUAAGACUGGGAUAACUUCGUGAAACCGGAGCUAAUACCGGAUAAUAUUUUCAACCGCAUGGUUCAAAAGUGAAAGGCGGUCUUGCUUCCACUUAUAGAUGGAUCCGCGCGGCAUUAGCUAGUUGGUAAGGUAACGGCUUACCAAGGCAACGAUGCAUAGCCGACCUGAGAGGGUGAUCGGCCACACUGGAACUGAGACACGGUCCAGACUCCUACGGGAGGCAGCAGUAGGGAAUAUUCCGCAAUGGGCGAAAGCCUGACGGAGCAACGCCGCGUGAAUGAUGAAGGUCUUCGGAUCGUAAAACUCUGUUAUUAGGGAAGAACAUAUGUGUAAGUAUCUGUGCACACCUUGACGGUACCUAAUCAGAAAGCCACGGCUAACUACGUG
This 497-nucleotide ribosomal RNA is filed under the name uncultured bacterium. RNAcentral's name for it is "partial 16S ribosomal RNA". It matches the Rfam family "Bacterial small subunit ribosomal RNA", at positions 28 to 507 of the family's 1533-position model. The record is from RNAcentral.